AUUGAACGCUGGCGGCAUGCCUUACACAUGCAAGUCGAACGGUAACAGGUCUUCGGAUGCUGACGAGUGGCGAACGGGUGAGUAAUACAUCGGAACGUGCCCGAUCGUGGGGGAUAACGGAGCGAAAGCUUUGCUAAUACCGCAUACGAUCUACGGAUGAAAGCAGGGGACCGCAAGGCCUUGCGCGGACGGAGCGGCCGAUGGCAGAUUAGGUAGUUGGUGGGAUAAAAGCUUACCAAGCCGACGAUCUGUAGCUGGUCUGAGAGGACGACCAGCCACACUGGGACUGAGACACGGCCCAGACUCCUACGGGAGGCAGCAGUGGGGAAUUUUGGACAAUGGGCGCAAGCCUGAUCCAGCCAUGCCGCGUGCAGGAUGAAGGCCUUCGGGUUGUAAACUGCUUUUGUACGGAACGAAAAGACUCCUUCUAAUAAAGGGGUCCAUGACGGUACCGUAAGAAUAAGCACCGGCUAACUACGUGCCAGCAGCCGCGGU
Molecule: ribosomal RNA, 495 nt
Filed under: uncultured bacterium
Lineage: Bacteria
Description: bacterial SSU rRNA
Rfam family: Bacterial small subunit ribosomal RNA
Source: RNAcentral